CGGGAUGUAGCUCAGCCCGGUAGAGUACGCGUCUGGGGGGGCGUGUGGUCGCAAGUUCGAAUCUUGUCAUCCCGA
This 75-nucleotide transfer RNA is filed under the name Bacteroides thetaiotaomicron. RNAcentral's name for it is "tRNA-Pro". It matches the Rfam family "tRNA". Rfam says of the family: Transfer RNA (tRNA) molecules are approximately 80 nucleotides in length. Their secondary structure includes four short double-helical elements and three loops (D, anti-codon, and T loops). Lineage: Bacteria; Pseudomonadati; Bacteroidota; Bacteroidia; Bacteroidales; Bacteroidaceae. The record is from RNAcentral. RNAcentral also lists the same sequence under 4 other names.